Molecule: ribosomal RNA, 513 nt
Filed under: uncultured bacterium
Lineage: Bacteria
Description: partial 16S ribosomal RNA
Rfam family: Bacterial small subunit ribosomal RNA
Source: RNAcentral
GACGAACGCUGGCGGCAUGCCUAAUACAUGCAAGUCGAGCGAACAGAUGAAGUGCUUGCACUUCUGACGUUAGCGGCGAACGGGUGAGUAACACGUAAGGAAUCUACCUAUAAGCGGGGGAUAACAUUCGGAAACGGGUGCUAAUACCGCAUAAUAUCUUCUUCCGCAUGGAAGAAGAUUGAAAGACGGCUCUGCUGUCACUUAUAGAUGACCUUGCGGUGCAUUAGUUAGUUGGUGGGGUAACGGCCAACCAAGACGAUGUUGCAUAGCCGACCUGAGAGGGAGAUCGGCCACAUUGGGACUGGGACACGGCCCAAACUCCUACGGGAGGCAGCAGUAGGGAAUCUUCCGCAAUGGGCGAAAGCCUGACGGAGCAAUGCCGCGUGAGUGAAGAAGGCCUUCGGGUCGUAAAACUCUGUUAUAAGAGAAGAACAAAUUGUAGAGUAACUGCUACAGUCUUGACGGUAUCUUAUCAGAAAGCCACGGCUAACUACGUGCCAGCAGCCGCGGUAA